Long non-coding RNA from Protopterus annectens (West African lungfish), 685 nucleotides. RefSeq lists it as uncharacterized. The transcript has 3 exons. Lineage: Eukaryota; Metazoa; Chordata; Ceratodontiformes; Protopteridae. The record is from RefSeq and is a predicted model, not a curated record.
UCUAUAAUCUAUUUUGCAGGUCCUUCUUCUGUUGGGUUAUUUAUUUAUUAAAUCGUCUGCUUACUGGAUAAAUUGCAGUAGGUCAAGAGGGACAGUUUUCAGAUUAGAGUUGGAUGAAAUAAAUAAGGAAGGACUAUGUUUAAAGCCUAUGCAGAGAUUAGGAUGACAUCUUCCUUACCCAACUUCAAACAACAAGGAAAGACAUCUCAGCACAAGUCUCAUGCUAUCGUUAAACUAAAGAAGAACAAAUAUUGACUGAUGGCGGGAUUAAAGGUCCCAAAAGCCCAGACUUGUAAGGAAUGAAUUGUUGUAAUCGUUUACUAUUUCAAACAGUAUUUUGGAAUGCUAUUGAUCCAGAGAAACCCUCUUCUAGAAAAGUAAUUCCAUAGCCAAGAGAAGAAAGCAAAAAUAUAUUUAGGAAAAGAAACUUUGAUGACUGUCUCCAAACAGUACAGAAGCUAGAAGUCCAGCAAAAACUACUGACAGGCUGUAAAUACUGAAGAAAAUCAAAGGAAAACAACAAAACCAAUCAGCAAUCAACUCCAGAAGUGCUCAGACAAUGGCAGUAAUUAACUUUCUUUCAUGCAGAUAACUAUAAGUCCCAAGAUGGCCCCACAUCCAGGUAAAAAAGAAAAUCUGUAAAGUUUACAUGCAUCCAAAACAAUUUCAGCGAUGGUAAAGCGUA